RNAcentral lists this ribosomal RNA (247 nucleotides) under uncultured Lamproderma sp. RNAcentral describes it as "partial 18S ribosomal RNA". It matches the Rfam family "Eukaryotic small subunit ribosomal RNA", at positions 28 to 243 of the family's 1831-position model. Lineage: Eukaryota; Evosea; Eumycetozoa; Stemonitida. The record is from RNAcentral.
AUGCUUCUCCUAAAGACUAAGCCAUGCAUGCCCUGAAUAAGAGGAAGCAAUUCUCUCUGAAUCUGCGAACGGCUCCGCAAACCAGUUGUAAACUAGAGCAAGCAAGUCUGGCGGGCUUCGGGCCUCCAGACGGAUAUGGGAUAACCCUGGUAAUUCUGAGGCUAAUACAUGACCGCGAAACCGGGCAGCCCAGCAAUGGGAUGCUCGGGGAUGUGCGAUAUGGCUUGACAAUAACCGGGAAAGGACG